AAGUCGUAACAAGGUUUCCGUAGGUGAACCUGCGGAAGGAUCAUUACAGGACUAAGAGCACGUUGAUAGCCCUAGUGGUUGUCGACGUUGCUUUUCAGUACCCUAACCCUUGAGUAUUAUACUUUGUUGCUUUGGCAGGCCGAUCAAGUGAGCCCGAUCUCCUUGACUCACCAUGGAGUGGCUGAAGUGCUUGCCAGAGACCUCAAACUCUGAAUUUUAUGUCGUCUGAGUAUUAUUUAAUAGUUAAAACUUUCAACAACGGAUCUCUUGGUUCUG
This 276-nucleotide unclassified non-coding RNA is filed under the name Helotiales sp. RNAcentral describes it as "partial contains small subunit ribosomal RNA, internal transcribed spacer 1, and 5.8S ribosomal RNA". The stretch from base 1 to 46 matches the Rfam family "Eukaryotic small subunit ribosomal RNA", at positions 1786 to 1831 of the family's 1831-position model. The record is from RNAcentral. Lineage: Eukaryota; Fungi; Ascomycota; Leotiomycetes; Helotiales.